This 752-nucleotide ribosomal RNA is filed under the name Rothia dentocariosa. RNAcentral describes it as "bacterial SSU rRNA". It matches the Rfam family "Bacterial small subunit ribosomal RNA", at positions 113 to 872 of the family's 1533-position model. Lineage: Bacteria; Bacillati; Actinomycetota; Actinomycetes; Micrococcales; Micrococcaceae. The record is from RNAcentral.
AUACGUGAGUGACCUACCUUUGACUCUGGGAUAAGCCUGGGAAACUGGGUCUAAUACCGGAUACGACCAAUCUCCGCAUGGGGUGUUGGUGGAAAGCGUUAUGGAGUGGUUUUAGAUGGGCUCACGGCCUAUCAGCUUGUUGGUGAGGUAAUGGCUUACCAAGGCGACGACGGGUAGCCGGCCUGAGAGGGUGACCGGCCACACUGGGACUGAGACACGGCCCAGACUCCUACGGGAGGCAGCAGUGGGGAAUAUUGCACAAUGGGCGCAAGCCUGAUGCAGCGACGCCGCGUGAGGGAUGACGGCCUUCGGGUUGUAAACCUCUGUUAGCAUCGAAGAAGCGAAAGUGACGGUAGGUGCAGAGAAAGCGCCGGCUAACUACGUGCCAGCAGCCGCGGUAAUACGUAGGGCGCGAGCGUUGUCCGGAAUUAUUGGGCGUAAAGAGCUUGUAGGCGGUUGGUCGCGUCUGCUGUGAAAGGCUGGGGCUUAACCCUGGUUUUGCAGUGGGUACGGGCUAACUAGAGUGCAGUAGGGGAGACUGGAAUUCCUGGUGUAGCGGUGGAAUGCGCAGAUAUCAGGAGGAACACCGAUGGCGAAGGCAGGUCUCUGGGCUGUAACUGACGCUGAGAAGCGAAAGCAUGGGGAGCGAACAGGAUUAGAUACCCUGGUAGUCCAUGCCGUAAACGUUGGGCACUAGGUGUGGGGGGCAUUCCACGUUUUCCGCGCCGUAGCUAACGCAUUAAGUGCCCCGC